UACAGAGGGGGCAAGCGUUGUUCGGAAUUACUGGGCGUAAAGGGCUCGUAGGCGGCCAACUAAGUCAUACGUGAAAUCCCUCGGCUUAACCGGGGAACUGCGUCUGAUACUGGAUGGCUUGAGUUCGGGAGAGGGAUGCGGAAUUCCAGGUGUAGCGGUGAAAUGCGUAGAUAUCUGGAGGAACACCGGUGGCGAAGGCGGGUCUCUGGGCCGAUACUGACGCUGAGGAGCGAAAGCGUGGGGAGCGAACAGG
RNAcentral lists this ribosomal RNA (253 nucleotides) under uncultured bacterium. Its description in RNAcentral is "partial 16S ribosomal RNA". It matches the Rfam family "Bacterial small subunit ribosomal RNA", at positions 524 to 776 of the family's 1533-position model. The record is from RNAcentral.